UCAUGCAGCCAUAUCACCCUGCAGCCCAAGACUGGUUGCCCACUGAAGCUAAGCAGGGUUGAGCCUGGUCAGUACCUGGAUGGGAGACCUCCUGGGAAAACUAGGUUGCUGCUGGAA
This 117-nucleotide ribosomal RNA is filed under the name Sinocyclocheilus anshuiensis. Lineage: Eukaryota; Metazoa; Chordata; Actinopteri; Cypriniformes; Cyprinidae. The record is from RNAcentral.